RNAcentral lists this transfer RNA (85 nucleotides) under Planktothricoides sp. SpSt-374. RNAcentral's name for it is "tRNA-Ser". It matches the Rfam family "tRNA". From Rfam's summary of the family: Transfer RNA (tRNA) molecules are approximately 80 nucleotides in length. Their secondary structure includes four short double-helical elements and three loops (D, anti-codon, and T loops). Further hydrogen bonds mediate the characteristic L-shaped molecular structure. tRNAs have two regions of fundamental functional importance: the anti-codon, which is responsible for specific mRNA codon recognition, and the 3' end, to which the tRNAs corresponding amino acid is attached (by aminoacyl-tRNA synthetases). tRNAs cope with the degeneracy of the genetic code in two manners: having more than one tRNA (with a specific anti-codon) for a particular amino acid; and 'wobble' base-pairing, i.e. permitting non-standard base-pairing at the 3rd anti-codon position. Lineage: Bacteria; Bacillati; Cyanobacteriota; Cyanophyceae; Oscillatoriales; Oscillatoriaceae. RNAcentral also lists the same sequence under 1 other name. The record is from RNAcentral.
GGAGAGGUGGUAGAGUGGUCGAUUGCGCUCGACUUGAAAUCGAGUGAACCGAAAGGUUCCGAGGGUUCGAAUCCCUCCCUCUCCG